AAUUAUAUAUUCACUUAUGAUUUUAAAUUGCAAAUUUAAAGGUAUACAUUUAUUUUGUAUUAUAAUUU
Molecule: transfer RNA, 68 nt
Filed under: Tomicus brevipilosus
Lineage: Eukaryota; Metazoa; Arthropoda; Insecta; Coleoptera; Curculionidae
Description: tRNA-Cys
Source: RNAcentral